UCAUGACUAUGUGAAUUAUCAAAGUCAAUAUUAGUCGACCGUGGUCGUUUUCAAAUCUCAUUACUCACACAAGAAACCUGGAAACAUAAAGGAAGCAUGGGCUGUUGUGCAAUUAGUUGUUUUUCAUGGGCUGUCGCCUUAUUAGAAGAACGAGUCAACCAACGAUUUCAUGAUUCAAGCGUCAUCAUUGCCAAAGAAAUAUUCUGGGCCAAUCUUCAAUAUCUUAGGUCCAAUGGCUCUCAAAUAAGAGGAAAUGGAGCGCUUAUUUUAACGGCGAAUGUGCUUUGGUUUACUUACGUUGCUCCAGACAUGCAGGUAGAAACGCGCGUUGAAAACAUUCGAACCGUAAAAGUUGGCAGAGCUCGGAGACUGUCUCGCGCUUUGAUAAUCGAUUUCGUCGACACAGCCACUGGGAAGGACGACCAAAUGGUGUUUGCCAUAAGGCAUCCAAAAAGAUGGGAAAAGUGGAUCAACGAAACUGUUCAAACGUCAGCAAAUUCUAUGCCGCCUCCAUAUUGGUCUGUGUUCGAACCCCUUCAAGCGUGAGUAUGUAACAUCUCGCUCAGCAGUUAGACAAUAUAGCUGAUCAGUGUACAUGAGGGGCCAAAAUUCUUGAACAGCUGAUUCGAAGGUUUAUUUUGUAUGCUGCUGCUUUGACAAGUUCGACGACUUUUCUACAAAAUUACCAAAAAAACUUGAAUCUCACUGAAAUGGUUGACUGUAAGUGUGCGCGGUGUUUCCUUAGAAGUUGUCUUACUUACUGUUCUUCCUUGGAAGAUGUCGAUCAUUUAUCGAGCUGAAGGUUAGGUGCACGUGGUUGAUGUCGCCGACUGGAACAGAGAUAACAGCACAAGAAAUAGACAUAACCGGGAUAACUUGAAAGCAUCCAUCAUAACGACAAAUUUCCGAAAUUAGAACUCUUGUUUUGAACCUUAAUUUGAUAAAAAAAAAGAAAAUCCUCUUACAGAUAGAACUCUUGAAGAUUAUAGUCAAAUGAGCAUCUCGAGUAUAUCAUGAAAAAACAACAUUAACAUAUAGCCAAGUGCAUUUCUAGAUCUUUCAUCAAGCGUAGGAAAAAACCUAUCAAACCUAUCAACCUAUCAGAGUAAGAUUAAUGACGAAAUGCAUGACUGGACAGGUCCAUAGUCACAUUUGGAUCGAUGAAAGAACCCGUUUUUAUGUGGUACCUGUCUAUACUUAACAUACAUAUCAUCACUGCAUUUAUACUCAUUGACUUUAAAAAACGGUGAUACCCUCUGUUGGUCUACAAAUGUCUUUGUGCCUCACCAUAAUCAUCUGAUGCAUGGGUCAAAAUUAUACAGAUUUAUAGAUUUAAUUUCUUUCAAGUCUUAUUCGGUUUCCUUUAUAUAAUUAACGUUCACUAGUGUUAUUUUCUAUAAAAUUUUAUCAAAAUAUUUGUAAACCGUUGUCGGCAUUGUUUCUACAAUAUAUUAGCUCCAUGCCA
Stylophora pistillata is the source of this 1465-nucleotide long non-coding RNA. Lineage: Eukaryota; Metazoa; Cnidaria; Anthozoa; Scleractinia; Pocilloporidae. The record is from RefSeq and is a predicted model, not a curated record.